GAGUUUGAUCAUGGCUCAGAAUGAACGUUGGCGGCGUGGAUUAGGCAUGCAAGUCGUACGCACAGCUUCGGCUGUGAGUGGCGCAAGGGUGAGUAAUGCGAAGGUAACCAACCCUGGAGUUGGGCAUAACCGCGGGAAACUGCGGGUAAUUCCCAGCGAUGUCUCGAGAUGGCAUCAUCUUGCGACCAAAGGUGUGAUUCCGCUCUAGGACGGGCCUUCGUGGUAUUAGGUAGUUGGUGAGGUAACGGCUCACCAAGCCGACGAUGCCUACCGGGUGUGAGAGCAUGACCCGGCACACUGGAACUGAGACACUGUCCAGACACCUACGGGUGGCUGCAGUCGAGAAUCUUCGGCAAUGGGCGAAAGCCUGACCGAGCGACGCCGCGUGAGGGAAGAAGGCCUUCGGGUUGUAAACCUCUUUCGUAGAGGAGGAAGGGGCCGUGCAGAGCGGUCUUUGACCUAUUCUAGGAAGAAGCUUGGGCUAAGUUCGUG
RNAcentral lists this ribosomal RNA (492 nucleotides) under uncultured bacterium. Its description in RNAcentral is "bacterial SSU rRNA". It matches the Rfam family "Bacterial small subunit ribosomal RNA", at positions 9 to 507 of the family's 1533-position model. The record is from RNAcentral.